This 283-nucleotide microRNA precursor is filed under the name Paramuricea clavata. The record is from RNAcentral. Lineage: Eukaryota; Metazoa; Cnidaria; Anthozoa; Malacalcyonacea; Plexauridae.
GAUAUUCGACGUCAUAGACACCAUCAAGUUUGGUGUUUAUGACGUCGAUAUUCGACGUCAUAAACAGCAUCAAGUUUGGUGUUUAUGACGUCGAUAUUCGACGUCAUAAACACUAUCAAGUUUGGUGUAUUUGACGUCGAUAUUCGACGUCAUAAACACCAUCAAGUUUGGUGUUUAUGACGUCGAUAUUCGACGUCAUAAACACCAUCAAGUUUGGUGUUUAUGACGUCGAUAUUCGACGUCAUAAACACCAUCAAGUUUGGUGUUUAUGACGUCGAUAUUC